CCAAAUCCUCACCGAGCACUUUAUCUAUUUCUUUUCCUUUUCCCAUCCAUUUGCGAGUAAUCUUUAGAUAUCACACCUAUUCAAGCGAGAACAAUCAAAACGGUUCCCAUGGAGUACCAUGGAUGUUUGGGGUGCUAAUACAUUCCCCUUGCAUAACCGACUUUCUUACCCAGCAUAUCUCUUUCCCCUGGGUUUUAUCUAUGUUUUC
This 208-nucleotide long non-coding RNA is filed under the name Lathyrus oleraceus (garden pea). RNAcentral describes it as "Pisum sativum (pea) long non-coding RNA (PSAT_LNC023335)". Lineage: Eukaryota; Viridiplantae; Streptophyta; Magnoliopsida; Fabales; Fabaceae. The record is from RNAcentral.